GAGAAGGAUCAGAGCAUUGCAUCCUAUAGACAUUGUGAUACAGAUGGUCGAUGGAGGUGUCAACGAUGCCAUGAAUGGCUAGAUCAAUGGAGUCACUGCAUGGACUGUGAGGGCUUAAUGUGCUUCUUGGAGACCUGAUCAUCCGGUGGCUACAAUCACUACCCUUGUAAGACAUGCAGUCUCCAAUUGUAUCAUCAUCUCCUCUUCUAUAUUCACCUCCAUUUAAAACAUCCAUGGCUAG
RNAcentral lists this long non-coding RNA (241 nucleotides) under Populus trichocarpa (black cottonwood). Its description in RNAcentral is "long non-coding RNA (PTRI_LNC002131)". The record is from RNAcentral. Lineage: Eukaryota; Viridiplantae; Streptophyta; Magnoliopsida; Malpighiales; Salicaceae.